AGUGAACGCUGGCGGUAGGCCUAACACAUGCAAGUCGAACGGCAGCACAGUAAGAGCUUGCUCUUACGGGUGGCGAGUGGCGGACGGGUGAGGAAUACAUCGGAAUCUACUUUUUCGUGGGGGAUAACGUAGGGAAACUUACGUUAAUACCGCAUACGACCUACGGGUGAAAGCAGGGGAUCUUCGGACCUUGCGCGAUUGAAUGAGCCGAUGUCGGAUUAGCUAGUUGGCGGGGUAAAGGCCCACCAAGGCGACGAUCCGUAGCUGGUCUGAGAGGAUGAUCAGCCACACUGGAACUGAGACACGGUCCAGACUCCUACGGGAGGCAGCAGUGGGGAAUAUUGGACAAUGGGCGCAAGCCUGAUCCAGCCAUGCCGCGUGGGUGAAGAAGGCCUUCGGGUUGUAAAGCCCUUUUGUUGGGAAAGAAAAGCAGCAGGUUAAUACCCCGCUGUUCUGACGGUACCCAAAGAAUAAGCACCGGCUAACUUCGUG
This 492-nucleotide ribosomal RNA is filed under the name uncultured bacterium. RNAcentral describes it as "partial 16S ribosomal RNA". It matches the Rfam family "Bacterial small subunit ribosomal RNA", at positions 29 to 507 of the family's 1533-position model. The record is from RNAcentral.